UACGUAGGGUGCGAGCGUUAAUCGGAAUUACUGGGCGUAAAGCGUGCGCAGGCGGUUCGUUAAGUUCGAUGUGAAAGCCCCGGGCUCAACCUGGGAAUUGCGGUUGAAACUGGCGAACUAGAAUCUGGCAGAGGGGGGUGGAAUUCCACGUGUAGCAGUGAAAUGCGUAGAGAUGUGGAGGAACACCGAUGGCGAAGGCAGCCCCCUGGGCUGAGAUUGACGCUCAGGCACGAAAGCGUGGGGAGCAAACAGG
Molecule: ribosomal RNA, 253 nt
Filed under: uncultured bacterium
Lineage: Bacteria
Description: partial 16S ribosomal RNA
Rfam family: Bacterial small subunit ribosomal RNA
Source: RNAcentral